UUUACUAUUUUUCAAAAAUCAAAGUUUUCGAUUGCUCAAAACUGCCGAAUAUGGUAGACUGUAGUAAAACAGUCAUAUCUCCUAAACUACUUGGAGUUUUUAAUCCUACUUUUUUUUUGAAUGAAACUAGACUCAAAGAGGUUUCAAAUGGAAUAGGUUACCACUACAUUGGAGUUCUGUGCCGAGUCCGGUGACGUUUAUAAAUCGUGUCAGUGCAGAAUGAAGUUUGUUUGUGACAUGUCUAUGUGUGAUUUGAUAUGUUUAUGUGAUUAUGCUUGUUUAUGUGCUUGAUUGUUAUGAGUUUAAUCCGAGUUGAGUGUUAAGUCGAGAGUAGGACUUGUGAAUCCUUAGGAGUUAAGUAUACCUAGGGAUUGAGAUUUAUUUGGGUAAAUAGAAGAUGAGUGAUGAGUUAUAUAGUUUGAGACGAGAUUGGAUUUUAGUAAAUGAGUUUCUAACUGAGGUUUAUCUUAUCUCAUGAACCACUCCGACAUUGUGACAUCUGAAGAUACGAGCAGAGGACGGAGGUAAGAUCGUCCAAGUACUACGAGAGUAAGCUAAGUUUGUCAGGUGGGCAUUAUUUUGAUAUACCUAUUAUACGAGCUUUCUUAAAUGAUAUGAUACUUAUGAUUAUGAAUUGAGUUAAUGUUAUGCUUGAAACUAAUUGACUUGCCGAGUUUUGUUAAUAAUGACUUGUGUGUUACCCUCUACUGUUGAGACGAAUUCGGUCCUGCCACAAGCGGGAUUUUGUGCACAGAGGUGACUGUGAGCCGUCUAUCGGGUCGGCCGGUCACGGUACUUGAGAGGGAGGCCUACUUCUCAGUACCUUUAAUGAUGAGUAGUGGAUGUGGUACAUACAUAAUGAAUGUUUAAACUGCGCAGUUACUUUAUUAUGAUGUUAUGAUUUGCGAAAUUGCAUGCACAGGUUCUUCUCUAACUAAAACCCUUGUGCGUUGCUUAAUGUGGCAAGUUCAAUUUAUAGCUCUAAGAGCAAGCUUUCUUUUGUUUUUCGGCAUAUGUCCACUGAGUACUUUGUACUCAGCCCUGCAUGUAUUUCUAAAUGUGCAGGAUAAGCGAGGAGGAGGAAGAUCGGUCUGGUGCUGGCGGGGAC
RNAcentral lists this long non-coding RNA (1108 nucleotides) under Salvia miltiorrhiza (redroot sage). Its description in RNAcentral is "long non-coding RNA (SMIL_LNC004257)". The record is from RNAcentral. Lineage: Eukaryota; Viridiplantae; Streptophyta; Magnoliopsida; Lamiales; Lamiaceae.